CUGGUUCUCCCCGAAAUAGCUUUAGGGCUAGCGUUAUUUUAGAUUACCGGAGGUAAAGCACUGAAUGGUCUAGGGGCCGCGAGGUUACCAAAGCCUAUCAAACUCUGAAUGCCGGAUAAUUGAUGAAUAGCAGUCAGACUGUGUGAGAUAAGUCUCAUAGUCAAAAGGGAAACAGCCCAGAUCUACAGCUAAGGUCCCAAAUGAACACUAAGUGGAAAAUGAUGUGAAACUGCGAAGACAACCAGGAUGUUGGCUUAGAAGCAGCCACUCAUUCAAAGAGUGCGUAAUAGCUCACUGGUCGAGUGGUUUUGCGCAGAAAAUGUAACGGGGCUAAGUGUUCAACCGAAGCUUAGGCAUUGCAGUAAUGCAUUGGGUAGGGGAGCGUCGUAUGCGGGGCGAAGUCAGAGCGGAAGCACUGGUGGACUGCAUACGAGUGAGAAUGCCGGAAUAAGUAGCGAGAAUUAUGUGAGAAUCAUAAUGGCCGAAAAUCUAAGGUUUCUUGGGGAAGGUUCGUCCGCCCAAGGUUAGUCGGGAGCUAAGCUCAGGCCGAAAGGCGUAGGCGAUGCACAUACGGUAGAAAUUCCGUAACCACCGAACAUUUAAGCUAGAGGGACGCUUUCUUUAAGGUUAUCCCGGGCGAUGGUUGCCCCGGGCGUAAGGGACCGAAAUAUAGUAGGGAAGUAACUGGCGAGAGAGACGAGAAAAGCUCUAGUGUAUACUAAGGUGCCCGUACCGCAAACCGACACAGGUAGAUGAGGAGAGUAUUCUAAGGCCAACGGGAGAAGGGUUGUUAAGGAACUCGGCAAAUUGGCCCCGUAACUUCGGGAUAAGGGGCGCCUGCGAGAGCAGGCCGCAGUGAAAAGGCCCAAGCGACUGUUUAGCAAAAACACAGCUCUCUGCUAAAUCGAAAGAUGACGUAUAGGGGGUGACGCCUGCCCGGUGCUGGAAGGUUAAGGGGAGUGCUUAGCGCAAGCGAAGGUGCGAACUUAAGCCCCAGUAAACGGCGGCCGUAACUAUAACGGUCCUAAGGUAGCGAAAUUCCUUGUCAGGUAAGUUCUGACCCGCACGAAUGGCGUAACGAUUUGGGCACUGUCUCAACAGCCCGCCCGGCGAAAUUGUAGUACCGGUGAAGAUGCCGGUUUCCCGCAACUAGACGGAAAGACCCCAUGGAGCUUCACUGUAGCUUGAUAUUGGAUCUCGGUAUUCCAUGUACAGGAUAGGUGGGAGACUUGGAAGUAAGCGCGCCAGCGUUUAUGGAGUCAACCUUGGGAUACCACUCUUGGGAUAUUGGGAUUCUAACCUGCGACCAUGAAUCUGGUCGGGGGACACUGUCAGGUGGGCAGUUUGACUGGGGCGGUCGCCUCCAAAAGAGUAACGGAGGCGCUCAAAGGUUCGUUCAGCACGGAUGGAAAUCGUGCACUGAGUGUAAACGCAUAAACGAGCCUAACUGCGAGAAUGACGGUUCGAGCAGUAACGAAAGUUGGAGUUAGUGAUCCGGCG
This 1500-nucleotide ribosomal RNA is filed under the name human gut metagenome. RNAcentral's name for it is "bacterial LSU rRNA". It matches the Rfam family "Bacterial large subunit ribosomal RNA", at positions 849 to 2425 of the family's 2925-position model. The record is from RNAcentral.